AAAACGACUCUCGGCAACGGAUAUCUCGGCUCUCGCAUCGAUGAAGAACGUAGCGAACUGCGAUACUUGGUGUGAAUUGCAGAAUCCCGUGAACCAUCGAGUCUUUGAACGCAAGUUGCGCCCGAAGCCAUCCGGCCGAGGGCACGUCUGCCUGGGCGUCACGC
Molecule: ribosomal RNA, 164 nt
Filed under: Cyrtophyllum fragrans
Lineage: Eukaryota; Viridiplantae; Streptophyta; Magnoliopsida; Gentianales; Gentianaceae
Also listed under: 13 other names
Description: Fagraea fragrans 5.8S ribosomal RNA
Rfam family: 5.8S ribosomal RNA
About the family: 5.8S ribosomal RNA (5.8S rRNA) is a component of the large subunit of the eukaryotic ribosome. It is transcribed by RNA polymerase I as part of the 45S precursor that also contains 18S and 28S rRNA. Functionally, it is thought that 5.8S rRNA may be involved in ribosome translocation.
Source: RNAcentral